CAGGUUAAUUCGGUUUGGUGGUGAGGUGCGGAACGUGCGAAGGGGGUGCGGAGAGUGCUCAGCGGUAACCGAGUGAGGAGCGUCGUGUGUCAGGACCAGAGGCAACUCGGUGGCGCUCGCGGUUACCGCCACCGGCACGACGACCGGCGGUAGGACCGCGACAGGGGCGAGGGGGAGAGGGAGCGCAGGGGGAGACGCCGCCGCCGCCGGCUGGCGUAGUGCGCGGACGGCCCGGUCGGCGGCCAGUUGAAGAGGUACAUGAGCCCGAUGCAGUGGCAGCUGCGGCGGCGCCCGGCGCGGGAGAAGAUGACCGACCAGCUCAGGCGGCGGCGCUUCGGGCUCAGGCGGGGCGAGCACGAGACCGAGUUGCCGCCCGGGCCGACGAGGAGGCAGCCGAUGCCGCGGAGGCUCCUCGAGCCGCGGAAGGCCUAGUUGCGGCUGCCGUCCUGCGAGAGGCAGUUGGGCAUGAGGACCUUGUUUUACCGCUUGCACGACAAGGACCUGCGGGGGCGGCCGCAGCCCAUGAGGAUGAGGUUGUGGUCGAGGCUAGACGAGCGGGGGCCGCUGUUGUUCUGUCGAGUACUAAGCAUGUGAAAGGACCACUUAACCGACCUCUCCAAAGGUGUCAUGUUCAUGGCGCUAAAGAUGUAGCGACCUCUCUCGAUACCUCCCGUGAUACAGGGAGUCAACAGAGUUGACCACAUGUCUUUGUUGUUCCCUCACUCCUUCGGGUAGGACUUGAAGUUUCCGAAGUACCAGCCUUUACGCCAGUAACUGCUAAUGGUACUAAAGCAACCUUGCAAGCUCAUGACCACCUGCGUACCCGACUAGAGACUACUGUGGAUAGUCUUCGACGUCAACCGAACACUUAAACUAAGUAGACUUGUGCGAAGGCUCCGUACGUUGUUCUAAAUACUACAACGACUUCGACUCCUUCCGGACUAGCUGCGUAUGUCGUAGAUGUGUGGAUGGACAUUCUUCUGGAGCGAAGUAUCCGCUUCCGUUUAGUUCCCGGCGUCCGGGACCAACGGUUCUCCUAUACUAGGGACGUGACUUGUCAUGAGGUGCUUCAUGAUAUUAGAUGGUCUUCACGUCUUUCGAAAAGCACGCUUACAGUGACCUUAUGGCAUACGGACCUGAUCGACGUCACUACAGAACAAACUUAUAACCUUUCUAAGUGGUUCCAGGUACGAAGGAUAAAUGGUACUCGACUAACGUCGACCGUAUUCUUAUACCCAGAAGUCACCACUACGGCUAAGGCAUCAUGGAGAGUGACCAUGUUCUAUGAGGUAACUACGUGAUAUAGAAGGCUGGCAGUGAUUAACCAUAGGCACCAUACUACUCCUUCUCCAACGACCAACCACGGUUCACAUGUUUCCGAACUGCAACCACUGUUAGGCUCCGCGUCCUGUACUCCAAGGGGAGGUAGCAGGUGCCGUUCGGAACUUCGAAAAACUCGUAAAGAACGUUCUAUUCGGGUACGGAGCCGGACAUGGAUCGUAGGUCAGCAAAAUCUUAAAGGAAGGUGAAUUUUACCUUCUAGUCGGGUACUUCGGUACAACAUGUUAAAGUUCAGGCCGAUGGUCUAAAAGUCAACUCGUCUAAAGGAGACAAGUAAACUACGGCUAACUCUUUACCCUUGUCUUAGGGUAAUUUCACCCUGUUAAUCUCGAAACAAAAAACAAAAGUACUCGAGACCCCACCGUUACAUUAAACUUAGUAUGAACGAAUAAACUGUGUUAUUUUACACUGGUACAGUAACAAUAGACAAUUUGCUGAGGAACUAGUUCAAUCCGAACUUAAGAGGAACUGAGACAACGACUGUACUAGGUUAGUCAUUUGUACAAUUCGAACAUUGCACAAUUGGAUCGACUCACCACUAAAUAUUCGAAACACGGAAGAGAUUCAACAGGAGACAUCGCUGAGCAUAAAUCUAUUUACAAUUCUCAUUAAAAACCAUUCGAACCAUAUACAAUGUCUUUUUUUUGUCUUCAAUCACGUCGUGACUUAUUUAUCAGAAAAACAUCAGUCUAUUGGUCAUGAAUCUCCAAAUAUCGUUGGUUCCUUUCACUAGAGUAUAAGAAAGAUCACGUUGAAGAACUUCUGUAUUAAACGUUUUAUUUAAUUAUUUACUGGUGUAUUUUAAGUAAGUCUUGAGAACUUAAAAAUAUAGUGACUUUUAUAAUAAGGGUACGUAGUUUGACUAGAAUCCCCCCCGAUCCCGUCAACUGUUUGUCGUCGGUUGCUACCAACCAUUGUCUUGUGUUGGUUCGGUAAGUAAGAAAACCCUACUAGAACUACGGGAACUACUCCUCGGGGGAGAAGGUGACGGGUGGUAGUCUGAGUUAGUACCUCUAGAGACGGAGAGGUAAGACGGGUAACACACCGAAUUGGAGGGGUUGGAACUGGACGUCGGUGAGGGGGGACCCGAAGAGGACGUCCAAGAGGAACACGACGACCUAGCAGGGCAGCCCCUUGAACUCGGCCUUCAAGUGGCCGCAGCUGGUGGGCAUCCGGCAUAGCAGCUCGUAGUGGAGCUUCUUUUGGAGUAUCCACUGAGGACCACACUCUACCCCGUCAAGGUCGAAGGGAACCUGGAGGUUGGUCGUCUGCAAGAAGUCGCGGUGGUAGAGCUAAGGUCGAAGCCGUCGUGACUACCAUUGUACAGUCAAAGUCUUGUACCCCAACGGUUCAGGUCAUAACCCCAAGAAGCGAGGUUCACUACCGGUCCGGAGACCCCUUGUCGUACUUCGUCAACACGGAUCAGGAGAGUAGGUGGGUCAUGAAGACGUGGUAACGUCUUUCAAACUUCGUAUUCGGUACAAGUCUUCAGUUCUUCUAGGGCCACCUUUGGACUAGAAGGUCACGUCGAUGUAACCACUGGAAGAGGGGCCGUUGUUAGAGGGCCUUGUACACUCCUCGACCGCGGGAGAACCUGACGCGGACCAACCGCCACAGCCUUCAUCAUCUUCGUGAGUGGAAGUACGCCGUCUUACGUAGCUAUCAUUCGAGAUUAUGUAGAGGUAGUCGAAGAAAAACUACAUAAAAAGAGACCUACUGUGGUGCG
Molecule: ribosomal RNA, 3067 nt
Filed under: Triticum aestivum (bread wheat)
Lineage: Eukaryota; Viridiplantae; Streptophyta; Magnoliopsida; Poales; Poaceae
Description: partial small subunit ribosomal RNA
Source: RNAcentral